UCCUCGGUAGUAUAGUGGUUAGUAUCCCCGCCUGUCACGCGGGAGACCCGGGUUAGAUUCCCGGCCGGGGAG
This 72-nucleotide transfer RNA is filed under the name Schistocerca americana (American grasshopper). Its description in RNAcentral is "tRNA-Asp". It matches the Rfam family "tRNA". From Rfam's summary of the family: Transfer RNA (tRNA) molecules are approximately 80 nucleotides in length. Their secondary structure includes four short double-helical elements and three loops (D, anti-codon, and T loops). Lineage: Eukaryota; Metazoa; Arthropoda; Insecta; Orthoptera; Acrididae. The record is from RNAcentral.